CGCGUGAGAACAGGCGCAAUGGAGGAGACCCCAGGAGGGGAACUGAGCUUGGAAAUAGCAUUUUCCUACAUGUUUAGAACCAAACCCGCACAUGGCCCCGCUGCUCCUGUGGGUGACGGGCAAUAACACUCGCUUUCUGGGUGAGAAUCUGACCACAGGGCAGCAAGCCUGCUCUGUUCUUCUGGAAACUGACCAGGAUGCCGUGUCAGCUGAGUUCCUAGGUGUGGUCGGCAGAAUUGGGGCCCCCAUGAUCUCCGUCCCAGAGUCAGACGCCCGUGAAUAUGUAACUUCACGACAAGAGGGACAGCACAGAUGUAGUCUCCCUGACACCCCAAGGGCACCUCGUCCUGGGGCUCCUGGCUGAACACAGGAUUUCCGUGUGACUUGCUGCCCAGCGCGUGUCUCCCGCUGCUUGUCCCGGGCUCGUAAAGCCCAGGAUCCUGAUCGGCAGGGAUCACAGUCCUUGCAGCAAAACAUCAUUGUUCCACGAAAACUGCCAUCUCCGCAAGACUUCAGGUCCUUCUCCAACAAUCCUCACGUCACUGUCACUGCAGCCACCGUGUGCUGGCUUACUCGUCCUCACCAUCCCCCAGGGAGCUGAGGCCCUGGGAGGGCAGCCGAGGGGCAUUCCUACCCUGACCCGCCUUCCAGCCCUGGGGGGCCAGCCCGGUGGGCUCCAUAAACCGACUCUGCACCUGCUCACUGGGCUUGUGCACGACCCAGCGCUCAUGUCCUUCCAGAGAUACGGGCUGGAGGCGUGGUCAGGGAACAAGGGACGGCACGGCGGCGUCUGCGUGCUUGUCCACCAUGCACGCGACCGCACUGGCCGCCAUGGCCCGGCCGAGAGGAGAGCGGCCCGAGGGACACGGAGCUGCCCAGUCUGUCCUGAAA
Molecule: long non-coding RNA, 891 nt
Filed under: Equus caballus (horse)
Lineage: Eukaryota; Metazoa; Chordata; Mammalia; Perissodactyla; Equidae
Description: lncRNA (ENSECAG00000055351.1)
Source: RNAcentral